RNAcentral lists this long non-coding RNA (689 nucleotides) under Mytilus galloprovincialis (Mediterranean mussel). Lineage: Eukaryota; Metazoa; Mollusca; Bivalvia; Mytilida; Mytilidae. The record is from RNAcentral.
GAAAAAGAUGAUUUAAAGAUAAUAAUGUCUAUUAGUGGAUCAUAGAUUCUAAAUGAUAAUCAGCUUUUAACCAUGAAAUAUCACAUGCAAAUCUGUAUACUUGAGAACUCCUUUUUAUUGGUUAGAAGAUGGAUUUGAUUUCCAAGUCAUAUUUAAAAGAACCAUAUCUGCAUAUAUAAAUAGUGAAAAAUGAGACUCCCACAGGGUCAAAAACGACCUGCGACCUCUGGCCUUUUUAGAGACGACUUCCGACCUGAGGGCCUUCUAAAAACGACCUGCGACCUGUAAAAUUUGGAAUAAAACGACCUCCGACCGACUUCUGUCCUCUGUGUUGGGAAAAACGACCUGCGACCUGCAAAUUUCCCUUAAAAACAACCUCUCGACGAAUUUAAAAGCGACCUUGCGACCUGAGGGGGGUACCCUGUGGGAGCCUCAAAAAUAGGUCAUUAAGAAAAUUAACUUGGAAUUUUUUAUGACAACUAUUAUUUCACCAGUAUUUUUUGUAAAUUGAAUACAUACUUUUUUUAAUCAAAGAAUGGCAAAUAGGAUUAAACAAGCUACUCGUAUUUGAUAAAGGGCAUAUGAGACAGUAGGGGUCUAGGGAUGACACUUUUUUUUUUAUUGAAUAAUGAAAACAACAUUUUUCAUCAACAUCAAGGAAAGAUGUUUUCCUUAAAAUUUUUAAAGCC